Molecule: ribosomal RNA, 433 nt
Filed under: uncultured bacterium
Lineage: Bacteria
Description: partial 16S ribosomal RNA
Rfam family: Bacterial small subunit ribosomal RNA
Source: RNAcentral
AACGAACGCUGGCGGCAGGCUUAACACAUGCAAGUCGAACGCACCUUUCGGGGUGAGUGGCAGACGGGUGAGUAACGCGUGGGAAUCUCCCCUUCUCUACGGGAUAGCUCCGGGAAACUGGAAUUAAUACCGUAUACGUCCUGAGGGAGAAAGAUUUAUCGGGGAAGGAUGAGCCCGCGUUGGAUUAGCUAGUUGGUGGGGUAAAGGCCUACCAAGGCGACGAUCCAUAGCUGGUCUAAGAGGAUGAUCAGCCACAUUGGGACUGAGACACGGCCCAAACUCCUACGGGAGGCAGCAGUGGGGGAUAUUGGACAAUGGGCGCAAGCCUGAUCCAGCCAUGCCGCGUGAGUGAUGAAGGCCCUAGGGUUGUAAAGCUCUUUCAGUGGGGACGAUAAUGACGGUACCCACAGAAGAAGCCCCGGCUAACUUCGUG